AACGAACGCUGGCGGCGCGCCUAACACAUGCAAGUCGAACGAGAAUCCGGGGCAACCCGGUAGUAAAGUGGCAAACGGGUGAGGAAUACAUGGGUAACCUACCCUUGAGAAGGGAAUAACCCGCCGAAAGGUGAGCUAAUACCCUAUACGCUAUCUUUUUUUCGAAAAGGAUAGGAAAGCCGGGUCGAGGACCUGGUACUCAAGGAGGGGCUCAUGUCCUAUCAGCUUGUUGGUGGGGUAACGGCCUACCAAGGCUACGACGGGUAGCUGGUCUGAGAGGAUGAUCAGCCACACUGGCACUGAGAUACGGGCCAGACUCCUACGGGAGGCAGCAGUGAGGAAUAUUGCGCAAUGGGCGAAAGCCUGACGCAGCGACGCCGCGUGGGGGAUGAAGGUUUUCGGAUUGUAAACCCCUUUCAUGAGGAAAGAUAAAGUGGGUAACCGCUUAGACGGUACCUCAAGAAGAAGCCACGGCUAACUUCGUG
This 485-nucleotide ribosomal RNA is filed under the name uncultured bacterium. RNAcentral describes it as "bacterial SSU rRNA". It matches the Rfam family "Bacterial small subunit ribosomal RNA", at positions 29 to 507 of the family's 1533-position model. The record is from RNAcentral.